Molecule: long non-coding RNA, 1761 nt
Organism: Struthio camelus australis
Lineage: Eukaryota; Metazoa; Chordata; Aves; Struthioniformes; Struthionidae
Source: Ensembl
CUCAUUUCUUGCUUCGUCUAACUUGCUGAUAACUUGCAGAGAAGCACCCCAAAGCAGCAGACUAUCUGCUGAACAAACUGUUAUGACUGAAAUGGUCAUGACCACCACGUCCCAACCUGCCCACUUGGUAGUAUGGCCCAAGGUGGGAUGCAGGAUGUCCUUGGCUAGCUGCACCCUUGGGAGCCUUGGGCAAGUUUUCCGCUGGACUAGGCUUUCUGGGAGGACUCCGAAGGGAUGGUAAGGCCAACUCGGGGAUAGGCAAUGGCUUGGAGGUAACUGCUCCUGCAAGAAAAAAACCCUGAACAAGUUGUACCAUCUUUACUGCCCUGAUGGAAGGGGCAGCAAGGAAAGGCAUGAGCUAGCAUAGGAUAAUGUGUAAAUCUGGCAGAUGGGAGGGGAUGGGUGUGAGGCUUAGCUCUGUGCGUGGAGGCAACAUAGACAAUGACCGUGGGAUGUGCUGGAAGCUGCGAUCGAUCAUUAUUUCUCAGUGUUAUGACAGAACUACUCUCUUUUUCUGCAGAUUGCAAUUUACUCUCAUCUUUCUUAUAAGCAUGCAGCCCACAGAGAUCACAGGCUCCAGCCCGCAGGGCACAGCGGCUACUACAGUCGAGACAGGAGAAGCUCAGGCUGCAAAGGACUCCUUUGUACUAAAGAGGAGCCCUGCAGACCAGGGCCUGGAUACAGAAGCCAUGCUCAAUAAAAGGAAGGACUGGAUGGUUAUGAAGAAACUUUCCGUUAGCGUCAGGACUGAUUUCUUCUGAAACUCAAAACUCGUUAUCGUCUUGGUGAGCACCAAGAAGAGCCACCUGCAACGUACCAUAGUUAUUCCAGUAAAAAUAGCUGUGAAAAACCAAAGACACUCUGUAGCGGGACUGAAAUCUCUCUUGAAUCAAGUGAUUGCUGGCAGUGACUGGCAGGUCAGUGACCCGAGCUAAGGGCAGAUAUCAGUACCGGAAUGGUGAGGGUGGUUCAGGAGCUGCUAUGGCCUCUCAGGCUGCUGAUCCUGCCGUGGCUGACUUCUCACAGAAGCAGAUGAGACACGCUUGGAUCACUUGUUCUGUCAGCUCCGCUUCAGCUGCCUCCAGCAGCCACUUCUGCAGUAACUGCCUGGUCGUCCUCUGGCACAGCAGCCUCUUGCCUUGCUUAGAGCUUUACCUCUGCCAAGUCCUGCUGCCAAGUGGGAGAAGCUCAUGCAACAAGGCAACCCAGAAGGGUAUUUUGCUAGCUGGAGGACGGAGGAAAAGUAAGUCCCUAUGUGCACAGACACACGAAUGUUUCCCAGCUCUUCUGGGGUGAGAAACAAUUCAAAGGUACAAGCAGGACACCUGUGUGUGGACACAUGGGACAAACGUGACUGCAGUACCAGCCGUUCCGGAGCACAGAGUCCCUUGCCAGGCAGAAAUGAGGCCGUCUCCCUGCUCUGUCCCUUGGCCUUAAUUUGAUGCUGGCAGAAGUUUUCCUUCGGGACAGGACAAAAAUUUCUUUCAUCUGCAGUGACCUUGAAUUUCUCUGGCCAGGAGGACUUUUAGGAGGAGACAGCAGUCCUCCUGCAGUUCGUAGCCAAUUCAUCUCUGUGUAUAUACCAUGAUCUUCUCUGUAAUCGUUUUGGUCCUGCUUUCAGGCCAUGUUAACUAAAUAUUAGGCCAUUAACAUGGUCUGAGGGAAAGACCAAAGAAAUUGUCCCCCUCUGCUGUCCGGGGACAGCACAUUGCACGGUGCAGCUCUGCAGAGGAAGAGAAAUGGAUUUUGGAGAAAUGGAUC